This 73-nucleotide transfer RNA is filed under the name Ixodes scapularis (black-legged tick). Its description in RNAcentral is "tRNA-Ser for anticodon GGA". The record is from RNAcentral. Lineage: Eukaryota; Metazoa; Arthropoda; Arachnida; Ixodida; Ixodidae.
UCCUGAUUAGCUCAAUUGGUAGAGAGCUUCACUGGAAUUAAAGAGGUCCCUAAUUCGAUACCAGGACCAGGCG